GGAAAUAUGCCCGAAAAGAAUAAGGACCACUUUGAUAGAGUGAGACAUGUGAGUUAAAAUCUCCCUAUUUCCU
This 73-nucleotide transfer RNA is filed under the name Conger myriaster (whitespotted conger). RNAcentral's name for it is "tRNA-Ile". It matches the Rfam family "tRNA". From Rfam's summary of the family: Transfer RNA (tRNA) molecules are approximately 80 nucleotides in length. Their secondary structure includes four short double-helical elements and three loops (D, anti-codon, and T loops). RNAcentral also lists the same sequence under 1 other name. The record is from RNAcentral. Lineage: Eukaryota; Metazoa; Chordata; Actinopteri; Anguilliformes; Congridae.